RNAcentral lists this unclassified non-coding RNA (2169 nucleotides) under Apis florea (little honeybee). RNAcentral's name for it is "protein phosphatase 1 regulatory subunit 16A, transcript variant X4". Lineage: Eukaryota; Metazoa; Arthropoda; Insecta; Hymenoptera; Apidae. The record is from RNAcentral.
AACAUAAUUUUAAAAAAGAUAAGUUAGCGCGCGGUGAAGGGAAGGCGCGAAUGAUUUUCUACAGGUAGUUUAAAAAUGGCGACUGACAGGUAUGCGUUUUCUCGCGUGUACGGUGCCGCGACAAGAUCAGACGCGACGUGAUUUUCAUUAAAUUAAAAGCAAGAGAUAUAUUCAACCUCUUUAGUUCAAUUUUAUUUAGUGGAAUCAUUGCAUUGAAGAAACCUUACAAAUUAUGUUGCGUUUUCAUCAAUCAACACGGUGACUUUCUCUCUCGAUUAUUGUAUUCGUGAGAUUCAGCUGCACUUAGUCUUGGCACGAUUAAGAUUUUUUGUCUUAAUUUCGUCUGUUUUUUGAACUAACGAAAAAGAAAAAAACGAACGAAUGAACGAACGAACGAGCAAACUUCCGCAUUCCACUGCAUCGCGAACGAAUAAGUGAACGAACAAACGAUCACUUGCCAAUGUUUUGAAUCUGAAAAAGCAAAACUUGAUAUUAUAUCAGAAUGAUGUCUAAUCUUUGUCGCAAAAUUUUAAAAUAUCUUGGAAUGUAUUCAUGGCUUUGUAAGUGUAAAGGUAAAUACAGUUGUAAAAAUUACAAACAUAUAGUCAUGGAACAUUCUGAUUUAGUAGCAGAAAUGGUACAUAUAGAAAGGUUAACAACUCAAGAAAGGUUGCAUUUAGCUCGUCUCAAAAGACUCCAACAAUUAAAAGUAUGGCGUCAACGUGAAAAAGAAUGGAUGCGACAUCAAACCAGACAUACAAGUAAUAAACGUCAUAUAUAUUUUAGUGAUAGUGUAAUGCUUUUAGAAGCUGCAGCAAGAAAUGAUAUUGAUGAAGUGAGACGACUUUUAAAAAAAGGAGUAAAUCCAGAUUCAACAAAUGAAGAUGGAUUGACAGCUUUACAUCAAUGUUGUAUAGAUGAUAAUGAAGAAAUGAUGAAAUUAUUAAUUGAAUUUGGGGCAAAUGUUAAUGCAGAAGAUAGUGAAAAAUGGACACCAUUACAUGCUGCUGCUACUUGUGGCCACUUACAUUUAGUUAAAAAUCUCAUUGUUAGAGGUGCUAAUUUAUUAGCUGUUAAUGCAGAUGGUAAUAUGCCUUAUGAUAUUUGUGAAGAUGAAAAAACAUUAGAUUGUAUAGAGGGUGAAAUGGCAAGACGAGGUGUUACUCAAGAAUUAAUAGAUGAAACUAGAGCUUCAAUUGAAGUUCAAAUGUUAAGAGAUUUACAAAAUAUAACUUCUAUAGGUGGUGAUUUAGAAUAUAAGGAUCAUCAAGGUGCUACACCUCUACAUAUUGCAGCUGCAAAUGGUUACUUAAGAGUAGUUGAAUUUCUUCUAGAUCAACAUGUUUCAACUGAUGUUGAAGAUAAUGACAAGUGGCAACCAGUUCAUGCAGCUGCUUGCUGGGGUCAUUUAGAAGUUCUUGAGUUAUUAGUACAAAAUGGAGCUGAUUUAAAUGCGAAAAAUAAACAUGAUGAAACUCCAGCUGAUAUUUGUGAAGAUUCAGAAAUUAAAGAAAGAAUAGUAGAACUUAAAACGGAACAAGAAAGUAAACGAUUACGCGAAGCACAGGGAAGACGGGUACGCAGAUCUCAAAGUAUAAAUACGCGUACUCAAAGCGUAAGAAGAACUUCAAUAAGAGAUAAAGUUUUAACUACGAAAAAAGAUGCUCAAGAAGAAGCUCGACUUAGAUUACAAGCACAACAGACAUAUAGUGGUUCCACUAUUAAUGUUCCACAAUCAGAAAAUGAAGCUAAUAUACGAGAAAAUAUGAGCAGUGAAACAGAUAAUAAUGCACCACCUGCUGUACGUAAAGCACCUGAAGGAAAGGAUAAUGAAUCUUUCCUUCAUGAAGACGUCGAUAAAGAAUCAGAACACUUAUCGAUAGGCAUUUCUAUUGAAGAUGGUGACAUCAAAUUUAAUCCUCGUGCUACGUAGAAGUUUAGUCGUAAUCAGCUAUCGCUGCUUGUCGAACAAAAUGCCAGGACAAUUCGAAGAAAUUCAAGCAAAAACGCGCAACAUUUGGAAUGGGAUGUUUCUGGGCUGGUGAUUGUUUAUUUGGUGUUUUACCUGGUGUAAUUAGAACUUGUGUUGGAUAUGCAGGUGGACAAAAGGAAUCACCAACUUAUAAAAAUAUGGGUGAUCAUACGGAAGUCGUUGAUAUUGAGUAUAAU